Molecule: non-coding RNA, 29 nt
Filed under: Mus musculus (house mouse)
Lineage: Eukaryota; Metazoa; Chordata; Mammalia; Rodentia; Muridae
Source: RNAcentral
UGNGACUAAAGGCAUGUGCCAUCAUCACC